RNAcentral lists this long non-coding RNA (1319 nucleotides) under Gossypium barbadense (sea-island cotton). RNAcentral describes it as "long non-coding RNA (GBAR_LNC013029)". Lineage: Eukaryota; Viridiplantae; Streptophyta; Magnoliopsida; Malvales; Malvaceae. The record is from RNAcentral.
GGCCCACGCGCGGACCCUUAUGGUCAUGGGCAGCACUGUUUUGUAUUUCAGACCAUUUUAAACCAUUUUUCCCUUCCUUUCCUUUCAAAUACCCAUCCAUUUUAACAAAAACCAGCAGCCUUGAAAUUAAAUUUGCUAGGGUUCCUUUUACAAGCAGCUGAAUCUCCAUCGGAUUUGGUGUCCAGCGGCGAGCAAAACAAUUCCCGAUUCUGUUGCUGUAAGUAUUCGACCAUGCCUUGAGGAAAUUAGUAAGUAUUUUCUUUUUUACUUGAGAAAAAAUAAAACUUCAAAUCUCAUACAUUUUUAAAAAACGAAGAAAGUUCAUAAAAUAGAGAUUCAACACCACUUGACCCCUUUCCCCUACUUUUGUAUCUUAAAGUAUUCGGGAUCUCAUUGGAGUCGAUUUACCUACUAAAAGACGAUCUAAACCAAACAAAAAAAGAAAAAAAAAAGAAAGAACGAAAGAAAACUUGAGAUUACCCUUGCAAAUUCUUAAUUGCUUUUUUUUUUAUAUUUCUGUGCGUGUAUAUUCUGUGUGCGUCUGUGUUCGUGUUCCCCUUUUCUUUUAUUUACUCUCGAAAUAAAAAAAAAGCAAGAAAAUAAUCACAAAGAGAAAGCCCAGAGAUUUAGAUCGGAGAAAUCACCUUCCAAUAUUGCUUUUUUUGUAUUGCCUAUUGUGUAUUCGUUCGUAAAAAUAUGCCCCCCUUUUACAAAGAUUAAAAGCUGGGUUUUUAUAGUCGAAAAAGGGAAUCAACCGAAAAUAUACAAUAUAUUUGUUUCCAUUUGCUGCUGUUUUUGUUUCUUUCUUGUAGGUACAGAGUCUGUUGGCAUGCGCACGGGGUGGGGGCGUGGCGUACGAGUGCUGUGGAGGUAUGGGACUGCUGUAGUGGAGGUAUGGGUCUAUUGCCCAGUUGCUGUUGCGGCGCAGGAGAGAGGGGUGACUUAGGGUUUGCCGAAACUUGGCUCAAUUUUUGGGGCCGUUUGGGUCUGUUCCAGUUAUUGGGCUGUUGUAUUUGGGCUAUGGGCAUUGGGUAUCAAUAUUGGUUGUAAUAUUUGGACCUUUAUGACAGACUAUUAGUUUGGUUUUAUUCUUUGGACUUUUGGGUUAAUAAUUUGGUAUUUAUUUUGGGUUUUGGUUCUAACGUAGGCCCGGGCUAAAUUGGCCCAUUACAAUAUACAUACACUCAAAAAUGAUAAUUUUAUAAUUACAAAAAAAAUGUAAGUUCCCAAAAUUAUUUUAUAUAUACAUGAAGAAAAUACUCGACAAGUUAUGAAACAAAAAAUAUUUUAAAAUAGAAAAAUCUAUUAAAGUAGUAGGC